ACAGCUUUGUAGUAUAUCUUGGAAUUUGGAAUUGUGAUAACUCCAGUUUUGUUUUUCUUUUUCAAGGUAGCUUUGACUAUUUGGGGUCUUCUGUGGUUCCAUACAUAUUUUAGGAUUGUUUCUUCU
This is a long non-coding RNA of Herpailurus yagouaroundi (jaguarundi), 126 nucleotides long. RefSeq lists it as uncharacterized. Lineage: Eukaryota; Metazoa; Chordata; Mammalia; Carnivora; Felidae. The transcript is spliced from 3 exons. The record is from RefSeq and is a predicted model, not a curated record.